Molecule: ribosomal RNA, 753 nt
Filed under: uncultured bacterium
Lineage: Bacteria
Description: bacterial SSU rRNA
Rfam family: Bacterial small subunit ribosomal RNA
Source: RNAcentral
GAUGAACGCUAGCGGCAGGCUUAACACAUGCAAGUCGAGGGGUAACGAUGGUGCUUGCAUCAGGCGACGACCGGCGAACGGGUGCGUAACGCGUAUAGAAUCUGCCUUGUACAGGAGGAUAGCCUUUAGAAAUGAAGAUUAAUACUCCAUAAUGUUAUUUGGUGGCAUCAUUAAAUAAUUAAAGAUUUAUCGGUACAAGAUGACUAUGCGUCCUAUUAGUUAGUUGGUAAGGUAACGGCUUACCAAGGCAGCGAUAGGUAGGGGGUCUGAGAGGACUAUCCCCCACACUGGUACUGAGACACGGACCAGACUCCUACGGGAGGCAGCAGUGAGGAAUAUUGGACAAUGGGCGCAAGCCUGAUCCAGCCAUGCCGCGUGCAGGAAGACGGCCCUAUGGGUUGUAAACUGCUUUUAUACAGGAAGAAACACCAAUACGUGUAUUGGCUUGACGGUACUGUAAGAAUAAGCACCGGCUAACUCCGUGCCAGCAGCCGCGGUAAUACGGAGGGUGCAAGCGUUAUCCGGAAUCAUUGGGUUUAAAGGGUCCGCAGGCGGUCGAUUAAGUCAGAGGUGAAAUCCCAUAGCUUAACUAUGGAACUGCCUUUGAUACUGGUUGACUUGAGUCAUAUGGAAGUAGAUAGAAUAAGUAGUGUAGCGGUGAAAUGCAUAGAUAUUACUUAGAAUACCGAUUGCGAAGGCAGUCUACUACGUAUGUACUGACGCUCAUGGACGAAAGCGUGGGGAGCGAACAGG